GGAAUUGUGCCCGAAUAACUAAGGACCACUUUGAUAGAGUGACUAAUGUGGGUUAAACUCCCCCCAAUUCCU
Molecule: transfer RNA, 72 nt
Filed under: Lovettia sealii (Tasmanian whitebait)
Lineage: Eukaryota; Metazoa; Chordata; Actinopteri; Galaxiiformes; Galaxiidae
Description: tRNA-Ile
Rfam family: tRNA
About the family: Transfer RNA (tRNA) molecules are approximately 80 nucleotides in length. Their secondary structure includes four short double-helical elements and three loops (D, anti-codon, and T loops).
Source: RNAcentral